AAAGCCCAACUUGAGAAUCGGACGGCCGCGCCGUUCGAAUUGUAGUCUGGAGAAGCGUCCUCAGCGGCGGACCGAGCCCAAGUCCCCUGGAAAGGGGCGCCGGAGAGGGUGAGAGCCCCGUUGUGCUCGGACCCUGUCGCACCACGAGGCGCUGUCGGCGAGUCGGGUUGUUUGGGAAUGCAGCCCCAAUCGGGCGGUAAAUUCCGUCCAAGGCUAAAUACGGGCGAGAGACCGAUAGCGAACAAGUACCGUGAGGGAAAGAUGAAAAGAACUUUGAAAAGAGAGUUAAAUAGUGCUUGAAACCGUUGAAAGGGAAGCAGUUGACACCAGUGAGGUGUGCGUGCAUUCUGCCGGGGGGCUUCGGCGCCCCGGUUUUGUGCGCGUGUGCCAGUCAGCAUGGGUUGGCUCUGCGGGAGAUCGCCGGUAAGGAGGUGAGCUGCGGCUUCUUCGGAGGUGCGGUGGCUGUUUAACUUGCCGGAGUGUGCCGCGGGGUGGACCGAGGAAUUUCUUGCGGGAGUCGUGCCGUGGCGCUUGUGGUGCGUCGCCUGUAAACUGUCUGACAGUAAGUGGGCGCCGUGUUGCAACACGCGCGGUGGGGCCCCAGCGGGGGAUGCUGACAAAAUGGUUUCAACUGGCCCGUCUUGUAACACGGACCAAGGAGUCUAACGUAUGCGCGAGUGUUUGGGUGGCAAACCCAUGCGCGGAAUGAAAGUAAAGGGACCGUCCUCGGGCGGCCUGUGGUGCGAGGGGUGUGCCUCGGCGCGCCCCGCAGCAUCGACCGAUCAUGAUUCUCCGAUGAAAGAUUCGAGUUUGAGCGUACAUGUUGGGACCCGAAAGAUGGUGAACUAUGCCUGAGUAGGGCGAAGCCAGGGGAAACCCUGGUGGAGGCUCGAAGGGAUUCUGACGUGCAAAUCGAUCUUCAAAUUUGGGUAUAGGGGCGAAAGACUAAUCGAACCAUCUAGUAGCUGGUUCCCUCCGAAGUUUCCCUCAGGAUAGCUGGCGCUCUCGCAGACCCGACGCACCCCCGCCACGCAGUUUUAUCCGGUAAAGCGAAUGAUUAGAGGUCUUGGGGCCGAAACGAUCUCAACCUAUUCUCAAACUUUAAAUGGGU
This 1111-nucleotide ribosomal RNA is filed under the name Kryptoperidinium foliaceum. RNAcentral's name for it is "partial Eukaryotic large subunit ribosomal RNA". It matches the Rfam family "Eukaryotic large subunit ribosomal RNA", at positions 104 to 1074 of the family's 3401-position model. The record is from RNAcentral. Lineage: Eukaryota; Dinophyceae; Peridiniales; Kryptoperidiniaceae.